Phodopus roborovskii (desert hamster) is the source of this 317-nucleotide long non-coding RNA. RefSeq lists it as uncharacterized. The record is from RefSeq and is a predicted model, not a curated record. The transcript is spliced from 3 exons. Lineage: Eukaryota; Metazoa; Chordata; Mammalia; Rodentia; Cricetidae.
GGCCGCCCGCGCGCGGGGUGUGUGAGGACGCGCUCUUGGUCGCCGAGUGCCAGAGCUGGGGAGCAGUUGCUGUGGUACCUGCUGCUACUGGGGUGGACACUGAGCAUCGGACAUUAAGGCGUGGGGUGCUGCGCUGCGGGUCGGGAAGGUGAAGUCAUGACGUCUUCCAGUGAAAAUGUGCUCUUUGGAAUGGGAAAUCCUCUACUUGACAUCUCUGCUAUAGUAGACAAAGAUUUCCUUGAUAAGUAUUCGCUGAAACCAAAUGACCAGAUCUUGGCUGAAGACAAGCACAAGGAAUUGUAAGUUCAUUAGAUCUC